GGCAACAAAAACCCAGAAAUGUCGAGUCUUUCGAAGAAAAGGCAUAAACUUUACAGUUGUUUCAGCCGUAGAGCAUCGGCUUUUCUCUAAAUUGGCCGUAUCUUGACUUGGAUUCUCAAAAGCACCUGCUUUAGAUUUGAGUAUGUUUACUUUGUUUUGCCUCGUUAGCCUAGAUUUCAUAGUUUUAUUGGUUCAGUGCUUGAAGUUGUUUUGAUAGUAGAUUAAUGGAAAAGUUUUGUCCUUUCUUGAAUCUAUAUGAGAAACAAUACUUCUGUAUCUAGUGAAGCGUUGGAGUUUGAUGGUGGUCACAUUUAGAAAUCACUCUGCGAUAUUGGUUAUAUAUGGUGAUGUUGGCGCAAUGUAGAGCUUAAAGUUCGCUCCUUUAUAAUGAUAUGACUGCUUCUUAAUGUAAUACAGUUUUCUUAUUAGUGUUUAUCUUUCGCUUCUUAAUCUCAGAUUAGGCAAUAAUUUCUCUACAAUCUCUAGGAGAAGAGCAUAUAAAGGUGUGGAGAACAUUGACAUAUGAUUGGUUUACAGUAAUCCUGCAGAGUCUGAAUCUCUUCCACAUCCACUGCUGUCACACAGUUACUUGCAACCUCCAGCUGCGCUUUCACCUUGUACCAAGUCCAUGCGCCGUGGCACACGCCAUGGACGAGCACAAACUGUUUCUGGUUCUUCUUCUCAAUUGCCUUUCUUACUCUCAACAUCUUGGUUCAACACUUGCAUACAUACGGUAAGUUUCCCAAAUACUCUUUGUAUAUUGGCUGUUAGUUUUUGGUCGUUCUCUGAGAUCUAGAGAAUGCUAAAACAACACUACAUUGAUUGUUAGAUUUCUCAUUUCAGCUAUAGUAUGAAAUAAAGUCUGAACGUUUAGAAAGAUCCAUUUUAGAACAUGUUCAAUUGUAUUAAAUCCAGAUACAUUUUUUGUUGGUGGACCUGAAGACUCCAUCUGAGGUCAUUUGUUGGCGUGUUAGAGUUCGUGGUGAUUGUUUCAGUGACCUUCACAGGUUAGAAGUGGUCAUAGUAUAGGCAGGAAUAAGUUAUUGAAACGAGAGAUUAUAAAAGAUUAGUUGAUCAGCUUAGUUAGUUUGGGUGAAAAACUGCUUAGAUUUCUCAAUAUAAGAACUCUUAUUAAUCCAGUGAGGAUCCUAGAUUUAUUUAGGCAAUAUUUACCUGCUAUCUUUAAACGAGAUGAUGACUAGAAUUCUUGAGGCUUUGAUACAUUGGAUCUGUAUCUUUGAUCCCCCAUUACUUCUUCAACCUCCUUAAUAUUCUUGUUCAUAAUCCUUCUAUGUUUAAAAUCCCUGGGCACACAUUAUCAUAUUUGCAUACGCGACCAGUCUCCACAGUCCACCCUUUCUCCUUGAAGCUUCAAGUUGUAACUUCACACACCCUAGCAGAAUCCUCGGCAAGCACAUACCACUCAUGGUUAUUUGCCUUCUCUUUUUAGCCUCUUUGUUCAUCUAUUCUUUUAACUAGUUUCUCUGGUAAUAGAAGAUAUAGAGAAUGGUUCACUAAUAUUUUACUGACCAUUUGUUUUUACUUAGUAUUGACUAUAAGAUCUAGCUAUGAUUAUAUGAACCCAUGAAACCUUCUUAAACAAAAUCAUAUUCGCACUGCUAAACAUUCUUCUAGUAUGCAUUUUCAGCUUGUCUACAUAUAGCAGAUCACGACUAACUUUUUUUUAAUUUUUUCAUAGAAGCUGAAGUUCAUAGUAAUAUACUUAUAAAUGCAGGUUUAUAGGCAUAUGAUCUACAUUAAUACGAUGCUGGAAAUUUUCAGGUAGUGUGUUAUCCUCUUCUUACAUUCUUAUUUAUAUAACCAUUCUUACAAAUAAUAUUAUUUGGUUAUGUCUUAUACAUAUAGAGUGUACUCACCCAUAUCACUCUCAUCUCGCUUAGUGUAGUCGUGAAGUUGAAUUUUGUAACUGUGAUGCAGUGAAGAUCUCAGAUUCAUUUAGGCAUAUUUAUCUGCAAUCUCCAAAAGACGAGUACAGAGUUCUUGAGGCUUGGAGAACAUUGCCAUAUGAUCUGCAUCUUUGAUCUUCAUUACUUCUUUUACUGGAAAGUUCUUGAUCAUCCAGCGCUGGUAAUCCUCGGUUAUCGCGCGGUCCUCUCCACAGAUGAUAUAUAUACGUGUAACGGAUCCAUACCCUUCCUCACUGAAGCUUCUUGUCCCUGCCAGAUUGUUUGUAACGAUCGGGUUUACCCUCACCAACAUUUUUGCCAAUUCAAGAUCCUAAUCCGCCACAACAAUCAUCAAUUAAAAAGUUGACUGAGGUUACAAGCAAAUCUCAUUUGGGUUUUAAGUAGGAGUCUUACUUGGACCGGAGAGAGUUGAUACAAAUCCCUGGCCAUGGAUUUUGGUCCGAAAAGAACAAACUCUAGAGGGCGAUCAGGUGUCCCGUAGGUUCCAAACACAGUAUCCAACGGUUCUUCUUGUGGAUCACUUCUGAUCAGCUGAUGAUUUCAGGCAGAUAUCAGAAAUCAAUAUGAAGAGAUCAGACUAUGCAAUCGAAUCAUCGUACCUUUUCAUAAACAUAAGCAGGUAGAUUUCUUGUGUCCGGCAU
This 2569-nucleotide long non-coding RNA is filed under the name Capsella grandiflora. RNAcentral describes it as "long non-coding RNA (CGRA_LNC000492)". Lineage: Eukaryota; Viridiplantae; Streptophyta; Magnoliopsida; Brassicales; Brassicaceae. The record is from RNAcentral.